AUAUCACCUGUAUCUCUUUGAUACAAUUAUUUAAAUCAUGUUAACCUUGAAAACACUGAAUUUGUCUGAAGUAGUGUAAAAAUAUUUUACAAUAUUAUUAAUGCAGGUGAUUUAAUAAAAACAUAAAUACUGAAGCGUAAAUAUAAACUUCGAAUGAAUCAUAUAUGCAAGGUGAGAUAAUGUUCAAAUAACGAAAAUUUAAUUGUUUUUUGGGAAAAAAAAAUUACAUCUUGAGUUUAUAAACCAAUUGACUAAAUAUUGGAAUUGUGUCGUGUAUAGAACACGAUAGAACAGAGUAUAAAACGCGGGUAUUUUUUAUGCAAUUCAUCACUAUUCGUCUCAGUUGAGUUCGUCAGCACUUCAAUUGUACUCGCAGACUGCAAGAUGUCCAAGUACUUGAUUCUGUUGUUUUUAAUGGCGUUUAUUGCUACUGCGUAUGGAUGUAAAAGUAUUUUUGAAGCGUGUACUGAUAAUAGUGAGUGCUGUACUAACAGAUGCGGUUACACGCCGGUGUCAUCUACGAAGAUGUGUGCCAAAGCACUCAGUCCGAACUCCUAUUAGAAAUGUUGCAAAUGGAACACUUAGAGCCAUCAGAAGACCAGCAUGAACUCGAAUGAAUAUUUUAAUUCUUUAUAAUGUUAUUGAUCUAAGUGUAUUUGAAACAUUUGAUAUUAUGAGUUUAGUAAGUGUAAUAGUACUUAUUAAAAGAGAGCAAUAAAAGUACUUCAAUAGAAAUAA
Microplitis mediator is the source of this 738-nucleotide long non-coding RNA. RefSeq lists it as uncharacterized. Lineage: Eukaryota; Metazoa; Arthropoda; Insecta; Hymenoptera; Braconidae. The transcript has 4 exons. The record is from RefSeq and is a predicted model, not a curated record.